UACGUGGGGUGCGAGCGUUGUCCGGAAUUAUUGGGCGUAAAGAGCUCGUAGGCGGUGUGUCACGUCGGCCGUGAAAUCUCCACGCUUAACGUGGAGCGUGCGGUCGAUACGGGCAGACUUGAGUUCGGUAGGGGAGACUGGAAUUCCUGGUGUAGCGGUGAAAUGCGUAGAUAUCGGGAGGAACACCAGUGGCGAAGGCGACUACCUGGCCUGUUCUUGACGCUGAGGCGCGAAAGCUAGGGGAGCAAGCGGGGAUUAAGA
Molecule: ribosomal RNA, 261 nt
Filed under: uncultured bacterium
Lineage: Bacteria
Description: partial 16S ribosomal RNA
Rfam family: Bacterial small subunit ribosomal RNA
Source: RNAcentral